GCGCCCGUAGCUCAGCUGGAUAGAGCGGCGGUUUCCUAAACCGCAGGUCGGAGGUUCGAGUCCCCCCGGGCGCG
This 74-nucleotide transfer RNA is filed under the name Phycisphaeraceae bacterium. RNAcentral's name for it is "tRNA-Arg". It matches the Rfam family "tRNA". Rfam says of the family: Transfer RNA (tRNA) molecules are approximately 80 nucleotides in length. Their secondary structure includes four short double-helical elements and three loops (D, anti-codon, and T loops). Lineage: Bacteria; Pseudomonadati; Planctomycetota; Phycisphaerae; Phycisphaerales; Phycisphaeraceae. RNAcentral also lists the same sequence under 1 other name. The record is from RNAcentral.